CCAACUGAGCAGAGUGGUUCUCCUCCUGUCACUACUGGCACUGAGGAGAGAAGAGGAGUGGAGAGCAAGCACAUAUUUGGUGUGAUUUCCCAGAGAGCUGUGUCCUGGCAGCUGCUUGCUUGAUCAUGUCUUGAUGGAUCUCUCCCACUUUGAUCUCUGCACGCAGAAAUGUGCUUCUCUGCCCUGUCUGCAAAGAUGAACUCAAAGCUGAGGGAGAUGCACUCAGCACUGCUACAAAAAUACUACAUAUACACUGCUGGGAGGGAAGCAGCUCCAUUAUCCUCACCUUCCCUGGCUUGUGCAGCCCUUCUGAACUUGCCAUCUCUCCCCUCACCUUGCUGCAGAAGGAACCUGGAGAUGGAGUGGCAUGGAGAGCUUGUGUCUGCUGAAAGGGAACACGAAGACCAAAAGCUGAACUCACAUCUUCUGCACUCAUUUACCAUGAGCUGCCUAUUUAAUCCUUUUAUUUUGUUGUCAUCAGCUUGGAUUUUCUUGUUUUCUUUUUCUUCUCUCCUAGCUGGUUUUUUUAGUUUCACAUCCACCCAAAACAAAGCUUAGUUUCAGUCUGACCACAGACUGAAAGGUCACUGGUUCACAUGACCACAUUUCAUCAUCAUCCCCUGCAAUCAAAAAAGCUGAGGCCUGUGAGCUCUCCCAUCCCCAGAAAUGAUUUCUCUUAAGGACAAUUUUCUAGCUCAAUAAACAGAGAUUUCUGAGAGCACUUUUGUCCUCAUUUAGCUUUGGAAAAGGGUGAGAAUCCACAGCUCGGGUUCAGCCUCUCUGAUAGAGCUCCCUUUAAGCUUGACCUCUGUCUCACUUAAGUGGCUUUGCUCUGACUUCAUGUUAUUGCCUUUUCUGGAGGGAUAGCUGAUGUACAACAGGGUCAGCAUUGACCUCUGUACCCUGACUAUAUUUUCUGAUCACUGUUAUUAGCUUUGAGGUGGGGAGGAAAAGAAUUUCCCAUGGGGUAAAUGUGUGGGGCUUAAUAUGGCUGCACCACUUUAAAACAAGUAGCGGCAGCUACAUGACUGUGCAUCAUGCCAAAUGUGCUAAGAGCCUGGGUGUGUAACAAGGUGCAAAAGCUUGCUCUAAAUAGACUAAAAUAAAUAAUUUGUGCUAAAAUAAA
Molecule: long non-coding RNA, 1126 nt
Organism: Pogoniulus pusillus (Red-fronted tinkerbird)
Lineage: Eukaryota; Metazoa; Chordata; Aves; Piciformes; Lybiidae
Exons: 4
Source: RefSeq, a predicted model, not a curated record